Molecule: ribosomal RNA, 443 nt
Filed under: uncultured bacterium
Lineage: Bacteria
Description: partial 16S ribosomal RNA
Rfam family: Bacterial small subunit ribosomal RNA
Source: RNAcentral
CCUACGGGAGGCAGCAGUGGGGAAUAUUGGACAAUGGGGGGAACCCUGAUCCAGCGACGCCGCGUGAGUGAAGAAGUAUUUCGGUAUGUAAAGCUCUAUCAGCAGGGAAGAAAGAAAUGACGGUACCUGACUAAGAAGCCUCGGCUAACUACGUGCCAGCAGCCGCGGUAAUACGUAGGGGGCAAGCGUUAUCCGGAUUUACUGGGUGUAAGGGGAGCGUAGACGGCGAUGCAAGUCUGAAGUGAAAGGCCGGGGCCCAACCCCCGGACUGCUUUGGAAACUGUAUGGCUGGAGUGCAGGAGAGGUAAGUGGAAUUCCUAGUGUAGCGGUGAAAUGCGUAGAUAUUAGGAGGAACACCAGUGGCGAAGGCGGCUUACUGGACUGUAACUGACGUUGAGGCUCGAAAGCGUGGGGAGCAAACAGGAUUAGAUACCCGGGUAGUC